This 428-nucleotide ribosomal RNA is filed under the name uncultured bacterium. RNAcentral's name for it is "bacterial SSU rRNA". It matches the Rfam family "Bacterial small subunit ribosomal RNA", at positions 355 to 776 of the family's 1533-position model. The record is from RNAcentral.
UAGGGAAUCUUCCGCAAUGGACGCAAGUCUGACGGAGCAACGCCGCGUGAGUGAGGAAGGCCUUCGGGUCGUAAAGCUCUGUUGCCCUAGACGAACGCUUGGGAGAGUAACUGCUCUUGAGGUGACGGUAUAGGAGAAGAAAGCCCCGGCUAACUACGUGCCAGCAGCCGCGGUAAUACGUAGGGGGCAAGCGUUGUCCGGAAUUAUUGGGCGUAAAGCGCGCGCAGGCGGUUUGUUAAGUCUUCUGUUUAAUCCCCGGGCUCAACCUGGGUACGCAGAGGAAACUGGCAGACUGGAGUGCAGGAGAGGAAAGUGGAAUUCCACGUGUAGCGGUGAAAUGCGUAGAGAUGUGGAGGAACACCAGUGGCGAAGGCGACUUUCUGGCCUGUAACUGACGCUGAGGCGCGAAAGCGUGGGGAGCAAACAGG